Molecule: non-coding RNA, 959 nt
Organism: Arabidopsis thaliana (thale cress)
Lineage: Eukaryota; Viridiplantae; Streptophyta; Magnoliopsida; Brassicales; Brassicaceae
Source: RefSeq
GUCUCUCUUCUCUUGUUUUCUCCGGAUGAAUUCUCUCUCGAUCAGCUUCAUGCGGCGUCCACAUCAUCAAAUUGGAGAAGAUAACCGAAGAAAAUCGUCCCCCUUCCGCCGUGAUCAUCAUCUCAACCGACGGUCUCAACAUCUGUGACUUCGAACAUAAUCGGCGAUUUUGAUGAACCAAAUCGGAGAGAGAAGAUUAAUAAGAUAGUUUUGAGGAAGAAAUCACAAUUAGAGCUUAAAGCAAGAAUAAAUCACAAUCACAAGAUGGGAAUUUUUCGGACAACGUAGUGAUAAUCAGUCAAUCGGAGAAAGAAGGUGACCCGAGUGUUAUAACCAUCAAUUGUCCUGACAAAACGGGUCUAGGUUGUGAUCUUUUUCGUAUCCUCCUCUUCUUCGGCCUCAACAUUGUCUGAGGAGGUGAUUGGGAAACCAAACACGAGAUGGAAUCUGUUGAAGGUUUGUGCAAGUCUUUAAUGUGGUUGUGAGAAUGCCGUGUGGUAGGGUCAUCAUCUUAGAGGGUCUAUUGCAGGGCUUCACUCUCCUUCGCAACUAUUCCUAAUAGAUCCUUCAAAAGAGAAACCGUCAUGGAGGAUCCUGAAUGUCCCAGGGAAACCACCCAAGUUAGCUUGGGGACAUAGCACAUGCGUUGUUGGAGGAACUAGAGUAUUGGUCCUUGGUGGUCACAAUGGUGAGGAAUGGAUACUCAAUGAAUUACAUGAACUCUGCUUGGCUAGCUGGCAAGACUCGGAUCUGUAAAGACUCUUUCCUUAUUCAUUUGGUUUGUGGUUAUGUAUCUGUCACAUUCCAAACUCUUAUGACAGAAGCGUGUGUACAUAGUAAAUUAGUGAUUGUUGUACGCUUUAGAUAUUAAUGUAAUGAUGUUAAUGGGUUUGCUGUAUGAGAUCCUUCUAUAAUAUACUUACUCCUUGUUACAUGACCAUGUAGCAUUUGAUUUUGAC